This 960-nucleotide ribosomal RNA is filed under the name alkali sediment metagenome. RNAcentral describes it as "bacterial SSU rRNA". It matches the Rfam family "Bacterial small subunit ribosomal RNA", at positions 553 to 1520 of the family's 1533-position model. The record is from RNAcentral.
ACUGGGCGUAAAGCGGGCGUAGGCGGCUCGCCAAGUCAGAUGUGAAAUCUCCCGGCUCAACUGGGAGGGUGCAUUUGAUACUGAUGGGCUAGAGUGCAGCAGANGNAGAUGGAAUUCCCGGUGUAGUGGUGAAAUGCGUAGAUAUCGGGAGGAACACUAGUGGCGAAGGCGGUCUCCUGGGAUGNAACUGACACUGAGGNCCGAAGGCGUGGGUAGCAAACAGGAUUAGAUACCCUGGUAGUCCACGCAGUAAACGAUGGAUACUAGGUAUGGGGAGUAUCGACCCUCUCCGUGCCGAAGCUAACGCUUUAAGUAUCCCGCCUGGGGAGUACGGUCGCAAGACUAAAACUCAAAGGAAUUGACGGGNGCCCGCACAAGCAGCGGAGCGUGUGGUUUAAUUCGAUGCAACACGAAGAACCUUACCAGGGCUUGACAUGUUGGAAGUAGUGAACCGAAAGGGGAACGAACUGUUAAGUCAGUAGCCAUCACAGGUGCUGCAUGGCUGUCGUCAGCUCGUGCCGUGAGGUGUCGGGUUAAGUCCCAUAACGAGCGCAACCCCUNUUGCCAGUUAAUUUCUCUGGCGAGACUGCCCCGCAAAACGGGGAGGAAGGCGGGGAUGACGUCAAGUCAGUAUGGCCUUUAUGCCUUGGGCCACACACACGCUACAAUGGGUGGUACAACAGGUUGCAAUGGAGUGAUCCGGAGCUAAUCCUAAAAAACCAUCCUCAGUUCGGAUUGCAGGCUGAAAUUCGCCUGCAUGAAGUUGGAGUUGCUAGUAACCGUGCAUCAGCUUGGCACGGUGAAUACGUUCUCGGGCAUUGUACACACCGCCCGUCACGUCAUGAAAGUCGGCAACACCUGAAGCCGAUGAGCUAACCCGCAAGGGAGGCAGUUGUCUAGGGUGGGGUCGGUGAUUGGGACGAAGUCGUAACAAGGUAGCCGUAGCGGAAGCUGCGGCUG